GGAUCGCUAAAGCUCUGUUCANAGGGGAAGAAACUNCCGUGGUGCUAAUAUCGNCAUGGNNCUGACGGUACCCCUNGAAGGAAGCACCGGCUAACUCCGUGCCAGCAGCCGCGGUAAUACGGAGGGUGCAAGCGUUNUUCGGAAUUAUUGGGCGUAAAGGGCGNGUAGGCGGNNNNUUAAGUCUGNUGUGAAAGCCCCGGGCUNAACCCCGGAAGUGCAUUNGAAACUGGGNAACUUGAGUACGGGAGAGGGAAGUGGAAUUUCUNGUGUAGNGGUGAAAUNCGUAGAUAUUCGNAGGAACACCGGUGGCGAAGGCGACUUCCUGGACCGAUACUGACGCUGAGACGCGAAAGCNUGGGGAGCAAACAGGAUUAGAUACCCUGGUAGUCCACGCCGUAAACGAUGNACUACUAGGUGUUGCGGGUAUUGACCCCUGCUGUGCCGAAGCUAACGCAUUAAG
RNAcentral lists this ribosomal RNA (460 nucleotides) under uncultured delta proteobacterium. Its description in RNAcentral is "partial 16S ribosomal RNA". It matches the Rfam family "Bacterial small subunit ribosomal RNA", at positions 419 to 864 of the family's 1533-position model. The record is from RNAcentral. Lineage: Bacteria; Deltaproteobacteria.